GGUGGUUACAAUAAGAGCAAGUGGUGGAUGCCUAGACAUCAAAAGACGAUGAAGGACGUAGCAGCCUGCGAUAAGCUUCGGGGAGGUGGCAAGCAACCUUUGAUCCGGAGAUUUCCGAAUGGGGUAACCCUCCUGUCAUAAAGGCAGGAAUCACUGACUGAAUUCAUAGGUCAGUUGAAGAAGACCUGGGGAAUUGAAACAUCUUAGUACCCAGAGGAAAAUAAAGAAACAAUGUUAGUUUUUAGUUCUUCGAUUGUUAGCAAUAACAGUCGAAUAAUCUAAGAGCUAAUUUCGAUUCCCUUAGUAGUGGCGAGCGAAAAGGGAAGAGCCCAAACCACAUCAGUGUUUUUAUGGAAUGAUAAGCCGCAAGGUUUGUUGUGAAGUAAUUUAAAGGUACAAGCCGUUGCUGAUGCUGGCGUUGUGAGAGGUUACGUUAUGGGUCUUGUAGCUCAUAGACAGAGUAAUUUGGUUAGUUUCCUAGUAGAAUCCGCUGGAAAGCGGAGCCAAAGAAGGUGAUAGCCCUGUACGCGAAAGGAGUAAUCACUCUGUGGUAAUUUAUCUCGAGUACCUCGGGACUCGUGAAAUCCCGUGGGAAACCGGCGCGACUAUGCGCUAAGGCUAAAUACUUUUGAUGAUCGAUAGUGAACUAGUACCGUGAGGGAAAGGUUAAAAGCACCCCGGUGAGGGGAAUGAAAUAGUAUCUGAAACCAUUUGCUUACAAAGAGUCAGAGCCUGGCAGGAUUUAUUCUGUUGGGUGAUGGCGUUCCUAAUGAAGACUGAACCAACGAGUGUGUAGGUGUUGCCUAAUCUAAUCUCUAAGGAGAGAAGGUGUAGCGAAAGCGAGUCUUAACGGGCGACAUUAGUUUAUUAGCUUGCCCCGAUUUAUCGGGGUUGGCUAAUUUACUAAACAGCAGCAUUUACACGACCCGAAACCAGGUGAGCUA
Molecule: ribosomal RNA, 944 nt
Filed under: Candidatus Komeilibacteria bacterium
Lineage: Bacteria; Candidatus Komeiliibacteriota
Description: partial 23S ribosomal RNA
Rfam family: Bacterial large subunit ribosomal RNA
Source: RNAcentral